UACGUAGGGGGCUAGCGUUGUCCGGAAUCAUUGGGCGUAAAGCGCGCGUAGGCGGCCCGGUAAGUCCGCUGUAAAAGUCAAAGGCUCAACCUUUGAAUGUCAGUGGAUACUGCCGGGCUAGAGUCCGGAAGAGGCGAGUGGAACUCCUGGUGUAGCGGUGGAAUGCGCAGAUAUCAGGAAGAACACCGACGGCGAAGGCAGCUCGCUGGGACGGUACUGACGCUGAGGUGCGAAAGCGUGGGGAGCAAACAGG
This 253-nucleotide ribosomal RNA is filed under the name uncultured bacterium. Its description in RNAcentral is "partial 16S ribosomal RNA". It matches the Rfam family "Bacterial small subunit ribosomal RNA", at positions 524 to 776 of the family's 1533-position model. The record is from RNAcentral.